This 825-nucleotide long non-coding RNA is filed under the name Cyanistes caeruleus (blue tit). Its description in RNAcentral is "lncRNA (ENSCCEG00000021958.1)". Lineage: Eukaryota; Metazoa; Chordata; Aves; Passeriformes; Paridae. The record is from RNAcentral.
GGGAGCUGCUCCUCGCCUCCCACCCCUACACCUCUUCCUGCUAGGACAGCAGAGAGGAUCACAGGGAAAGCCAAGGACCAAAUCCUCUGUAUCACCACCAGCUGGACAACAGUACUAGAAAGUUUCUAGCAGCCUCAGCAGAAUAGGAAGCAUAUCCUCCCCUCAGCACAGCACUACCAGUGGUGGUCCUUUUGGCUGCCACAUUUUAAAACCACCAUGAGGUUCAUCUCCUUCCUGUGCAGAGCAAACACAGCUUUCAAGCUGUGGGGAUGGGGUCAACCCUCGCUGGCAGAUUGGCAGGGUGGGAUUAUGUCAGCUCCCCCCCUCACGUCUUACACUCUUCUCUGGAGGAGGCAGAGGCUUGGCUGAAUUUGGGGACAGGGGUUUCCUGCUGAGAUGUGGCUGAGGAACCUUUGCCAUCUGUGCCAAAGGUUUUCCCUUAGUUGGACAACCUGUCUGAAGGAAGACACAGAAUUGGCUUCCUCCUCAGCUCUGGAAAGAUUUAUUGUUUCUGUGCCACAGAGUGUUGGCACAAAACCCCAACAGGUUUUCAGAUUCAUUCUGCUCUUUAAGCUCACUAUUGUUUGCAAACCUAAAAGGCUUUAUCUCUCCUCUUUAGGGAGCCCCAGACAAGAGAGGCUCACAGCCCAUGGACAGAAUGGCUCUACAGAUGACACAUUCACCCACGAACAUUUUCAGGAGACUGGGGUAAUAAGAGAGAUGUGCCAGGGGACAGGAUGUCACUGUAUCACAGCUUGGUCGUGCUGGAAGACAGUGACUGGUUGGUGCCUGGGACUUUGCCUCUCCCACACAGCAUGUCACUGA